GACGAACGCUGGCGGCGUGCUUAACACAUGCAAGUCGAACGGAAAGGCCCUGCUUUUGUGGGGUGCUCGAGUGGCGAACGGGUGAGUCACACGUGAGUAACCUGCCCUUGACUUUGGGAUAACUUCAGGAAACUGGGGCUAAUACCGGAUAGGAGCUCCUGCUGCAUGGUGGGGGUUGGAAAGUUUCGGCGGUUGGGGAUGGACUCGCGGCUUAUCAGCUUGUUGGUGGGGUAGUGGCUUACCAAGGCUUUGACGGGUAGCCGGCCUGAGAGGGUGACCGGCCACAUUGGGACUGAGAUACGGCCCAGACUCCUACGGGAGGCAGAAGUGGGGAAUAUUGCACAAUGGGCGGAAGCCUGAUGCAGCAACGCCGCGUGCGGGAUGACGGCCUUCGGGUUGUAAACCGCUUUCGCCUGUGACGAAGCGUGAGUGACGGUAAUGGGUAAAGAAGCACCGGCUAACUACGUG
This 468-nucleotide ribosomal RNA is filed under the name uncultured bacterium. RNAcentral describes it as "partial 16S ribosomal RNA". It matches the Rfam family "Bacterial small subunit ribosomal RNA", at positions 28 to 507 of the family's 1533-position model. The record is from RNAcentral.